Long non-coding RNA from Pomacea canaliculata, 727 nucleotides. RefSeq lists it as uncharacterized. NCBI's taxonomy places the organism in Eukaryota, Metazoa, Mollusca, Gastropoda, Architaenioglossa, Ampullariidae. The record is from RefSeq and is a predicted model, not a curated record. The transcript is spliced from 4 exons.
GAGCUAACCAGCGAAACGAUCCUCGCCAGGCAGACUGUGACUCGAGGAAGGUUGUACUGUUCGUUAUUCAGAUGUGGAGAAUGUCUAUGUUGAAUUUCGACAAGUUAAUGAACACAUAUGGCGACAUCAGUAGAUGGUGCAAGAGGAAAUGAACGCAUGCCAUGAUAUUGAAGACCUACGGGGAAGAAUGGUAUCUAAACAUGGUGGAAGCAGCACAAAAUGGUUUUUAGUACACAUUCAUCGUACCUUCAGUUAAGGGGCUUCCAAGAAUGUGAAGAGGAAAAAUCAAAGUCUUCUGCCAGAGCUGAUGUACGGUGAGAAAAGCUCCAUCUUACUCCAUGUUCGUGGAAUAUUCUAGAGGCCUACGUACACACGAGCGAGGCACAUCCGCGGCCCGACAUACCAAGUGAUCGAGAGAUUGGUGGACCAGAUGACUGGACUAAAAAUUAACAAAAAAUGACGAAAAUGUUUUUAAGUUCUUACUAUGGCUUAGAAAACGUGUGCUUAAAAGAUUUUGUAAUUUAUAAAAAAAUUCUUGACCCCUAUUUGAUGUUCAUUCUUAACAUAAGGAACGUGCCCUGAGAUUAUCUCCCUUACAUUACAGAUCGGGUAAUUUGUAAUGAUUGUAAAUGGAUUAGAUAAUGAUGCACAUAAAAGUUGCACGGAAGAUAUGUGCUAAAAGUAUAUUUACGUCCCAUAUUUGAAUAAAAUUAGUCAGGAAAAAACC